This 1410-nucleotide ribosomal RNA is filed under the name Lactiplantibacillus plantarum. RNAcentral's name for it is "bacterial SSU rRNA". It matches the Rfam family "Bacterial small subunit ribosomal RNA", at positions 58 to 1434 of the family's 1533-position model. Lineage: Bacteria; Bacillati; Bacillota; Bacilli; Lactobacillales; Lactobacillaceae. The record is from RNAcentral.
CAAGUCGAACGAACUCUGGUAUUGAUUGGUGCUUGCAUCAUGAUUUACAUUUGAGUGAGUGGCGAACUGGUGAGUAACACGUGGGAAACCUGCCCAGAAGCGGGGGAUAACACCUGGAAACAGAUGCUAAUACCGCAUAACAACUUGGACCGCAUGGUCCGAGCUUGAAAGAUGGCUUCGGCUAUCACUUUUGGAUGGUCCCGCGGCGUAUUAGCUAGAUGGUGGGGUAACGGCUCACCAUGGCAAUGAUACGUAGCCGACCUGAGAGGGUAAUCGGCCACAUUGGGACUGAGACACGGCCCAAACUCCUACGGGAGGCAGCAGUAGGGAAUCUUCCACAAUGGACGAAAGUCUGAUGGAGCAACGCCGCGUGAGUGAAGAAGGGUUUCGGCUCGUAAAACUCUGUUGUUAAAGAAGAACAUAUCUGAGAGUAACUGUUCAGGUAUUGACGGUAUUUAACCAGAAAGCCACGGCUAACUACGUGCCAGCAGCCGCGGUAAUACGUAGGUGGCAAGCGUUGUCCGGAUUUAUUGGGCGUAAAGCGAGCGCAGGCGGUUUUUUAAGUCUGAUGUGAAAGCCUUCGGCUCAACCGAAGAAGUGCAUCGGAAACUGGGAAACUUGAGUGCAGAAGAGGACAGUGGAACUCCAUGUGUAGCGGUGAAAUGCGUAGAUAUAUGGAAGAACACCAGUGGCGAAGGCGGCUGUCUGGUCUGUAACUGACGCUGAGGCUCGAAAGUAUGGGUAGCAAACAGGAUUAGAUACCCUGGUAGUCCAUACCGUAAACGAUGAAUGCUAAGUGUUGGAGGGUUUCCGCCCUUCAGUGCUGCAGCUAACGCAUUAAGCAUUCCGCCUGGGGAGUACGGCCGCAAGGCUGAAACUCAAAGGAAUUGACGGGGGCCCGCACAAGCGGUGGAGCAUGUGGUUUAAUUCGAAGCUACGCGAAGAACCUUACCAGGUCUUGACAUACUAUGCAAAUCUAAGAGAUUAGACGUUCCCUUCGGGGACAUGGAUACAGGUGGUGCAUGGUUGUCGUCAGCUCGUGUCGUGAGAUGUUGGGUUAAGUCCCGCAACGAGCGCAACCCUUAUUAUCAGUUGCCAGCAUUAAGUUGGGCACUCUGGUGAGACUGCCGGUGACAAACCGGAGGAAGGUGGGGAUGACGUCAAAUCAUCAUGCCCCUUAUGACCUGGGCUACACACGUGCUACAAUGGAUGGUACAACGAGUUGCGAACUCGCGAGAGUAAGCUAAUCUCUUAAAGCCAUUCUCAGUUCGGAUUGUAGGCUGCAACUCGCCUACAUGAAGUCGGAAUCGCUAGUAAUCGCGGAUCAGCAUGCCGCGGUGAAUACGUUCCCGGGCCUUGUACACACCGCCCGUCACACCAUGAGAGUUUGUAACACCCAAAGUCGGUGGG